UCAUGUUAUAUACAUACAGUUGCUGAAAUCAUUCAUGUUUUUCUUAUGUUGAUUUUUUGAAUCAUUUUCCUUCGCAUUGUUUAAUUUCGAUGCGUUGAUUGAUGGAGUUGGGUUUUCAGGCGAGUUUGCAGACAACUACAUCAAUUCCCUUACAACCUUUGCAGUUCCAUUGCCUCCCAGGCUAUCAAGAUGGCAAUGGAAGAAUGUCUAAAUCAGCUGCAUAUAGGAAGCUUAGAAAAUUAGGCUCUUCCAAGGUAAUGAAUGUAUGUAUGUAUGUAUGUAUGUAUUGCUUGAUUGUGGUAUUUUGCUUUAUGUAGGAGCAACAACCAAGUAGACCAUGGCUUGGAAAUGCUGGUAUGGUACUCAAUCAAUGAGCCAAAUUUGUUUUUUUUUUUUAAAGAAUUAAUUGUUAAUUUUUUAUAUAUACAUAUUCAUGUUUUCAUUUGGAGGUUUUGAAGGAAUAAUACCAAAAAAAAAAAAGCUACGAAAUCCUGCAAAGGUCCAUUCUUUACUUCUUUUUUUAACUAAUUUAACACAUAUAUCUAAUAUGUAUUUAAUUAUGAAAAUAGGGAUACGACCCUUUAAAUACACGUAUUCGACGUUGAUACCCAAACCCGAGUAACAUAGGCAUUCAUUUUUUUCUGUCCCCCUGACUAUGCUAUUUGUGUUAUUUUCAGAAGCAAGGACUGCAUCAACCUUGGUUGAAACAAAAGCCAUUGGAUUAUCAGAACAAUGCUGGUAAUUUUUGGUAUCCUGAGAUUUCAUUUGAUUCAAUGUUUGAACUCAAAUUUACAUGGAAAUUUUCAAAAUAUGAUUCCCUUGUUUUGUCAGGUUUGGUAGAACUAAGACAAACAUUUAGACUGCAAGCUCAUGAAAUGGUUUGUGUAAACUUCUGGAUGCCCUUAUUUCUGCUUUUGUGUAAUUUCUUGUUGUCCCGGCCCUUCAUCUUUCAUUUAGUAUCCAAUGAGUUUAUUUAUGGGUAUGGGUAGGAUAUCAAUCCGAAAUGUGAGAGAGUAUGAAUAAUUGAAAGAGGCCGACUUAAAUUUAAUAGCUCAAGCUUUAUUCCUUUUGUAAUUUAUUUUAUUUUUAUAUAUGACGUAAUUUAUUUAAUAUAAAAUUAAACAUAUAAUAAUAUAAUAAUAUGUAAAUAUUAAAAAUAUAUAUAUUAAAUUUUAAUAAUAAAAAAAUUAUAUAAAAAAUAAACGAUUAAUCAUUUACAGAUACAAUCAAGCUUCAAUAAAAUUUUAAGUUCAUAUUUCGAAUCGAACAAACUUUAGGCAAACAUAAAAUAUAUUGUUUCAAACUAAGAAAGGAUUUUGAAAUUGAUUUCAGCAGCUGAAUUGACAAAGCAGGAUCAUUAGAGUGAAUGCAAUGGAUACAACUAUUGAGCAAGGUAUAUUUCAACAUUAUCUUCUAGUAGUCUCUUAACAUGAAAUAGUAGAAAACCAAUAAUAAUAAGUUCAUCAUCAAUACUAGAACAGGAUCGAACUAACCCAUUAGCUAUCAUAGUUUCUUCUGGAAUUUGACUGCAUACAUUGCCAUAGCUGUUGAGCCGAGUUACUUCUAGACCAUGAAAAUGUGAAUAACAGUGUGAUUUGAAGUGCCUAAAAUUGAGAUUUGAUGAGAUUCAGGGCCGUAAAGUAUCCCAUUAUAUGUGGGUGAGAGAUUAGGUGGUGAAGGGUUAUAAUCAAAGCGCUGAAAUAGGGGCCCAUUUUGAUUGUGAUCUGCGGAAGAGAUUUUAAUUAUGAUUCUGACAAAUCAAUGCUGCAAGCUGGAUUUUGCCCAAAGUACCCCCAAACCCCAUGUGCUGUGGUCUUUGUAGGCCUUACCCAAACUUUAAUGAUUUUCAAUGAAUCCGGGAUUCCUUUUCAUUUCAA
Molecule: long non-coding RNA, 1877 nt
Filed under: Gossypium barbadense (sea-island cotton)
Lineage: Eukaryota; Viridiplantae; Streptophyta; Magnoliopsida; Malvales; Malvaceae
Description: long non-coding RNA (GBAR_LNC019568)
Source: RNAcentral